RNAcentral lists this transfer RNA (69 nucleotides) under Betta pi. RNAcentral's name for it is "tRNA-Asp". The record is from RNAcentral. Lineage: Eukaryota; Metazoa; Chordata; Actinopteri; Anabantiformes; Osphronemidae.
AAGACGCUAGUAAAACUAUUACAUUGCUUUGUCAAGGCAAAAUUGUGGAUUAACCCCCCGCGUGUCUUA